CCUACGGGCGGCAGCAGUGGGGAAUAUUGCACAAUGGGCGCAAGCCUGAUGCAGCGACGCCGCGUGAGGGAUGACGGCCUUCGGGUUGUAAACCUCUGUUAGCAGGGAAGAAGAGAGAUUGACGGUACCUGCAGAGAAAGCGCCGGCUAACUACGUGCCAGCAGCCGCGGUAAUACGUAGGGCGCGAGCGUUGUCCGGAAUUAUUGGGCGUAAAGAGCUUGUAGGCGGUUUGUCGCGUCUGCUGUGAAAGGCCGGGGCUUAACUCCGUGUAUUGCAGUGGGUACGGGCAGACUAGAGUGCAGUAGGGGAGACUGGAAUUCCUGGUGUAGCGGUGGAAUGCGCAGAUAUCAGGAGGAACACCGAUGGCGAAGGCAGGUCUCUGGGCUGUAACUGACGCUGAGAAGCGAAAGCAUGGGGAGCGAACAGGAUUAGAUACCCCGGUAGUC
RNAcentral lists this ribosomal RNA (446 nucleotides) under uncultured Rothia sp. RNAcentral's name for it is "bacterial SSU rRNA". It matches the Rfam family "Bacterial small subunit ribosomal RNA", at positions 338 to 795 of the family's 1533-position model. The record is from RNAcentral. Lineage: Bacteria; Bacillati; Actinomycetota; Actinomycetes; Micrococcales; Micrococcaceae.